RNAcentral lists this ribosomal RNA (483 nucleotides) under uncultured bacterium. RNAcentral's name for it is "partial 16S ribosomal RNA". It matches the Rfam family "Bacterial small subunit ribosomal RNA", at positions 30 to 506 of the family's 1533-position model. The record is from RNAcentral.
AUUGAACGCUGGCGGCAGGCCUAACACAUGCAAGUCGAGCGGAUGAAGGGAGCUGGCUCCUGGAUUCAGCGGAGGACGGGUGAGUAAUGCCUAGGAAUCUGCCUGGUAGUUGGGGAUAACGUCCGGAAACGGGCGCUAAUACCGCAUACGUCCUGUGGUAGAAAGUGGGGGAUCUUCGGACCUCACGCUAUCAGAUGAGCCUAGGUCGGAUUAGCUAGUUGGUGGGGUAAAGGCCUACCAAGGCGACGAUCCGUAACUGGUCUGAGAGGAUGAUCAGUCACACUGGAACUACGACACGCUCUAGACUCGUAAGGGAGGCAGCAGUGGGGAAUGUGGGACCAUGGGCGAAAGCCUGAUCAAGCGAUGACGCGUGUGUGAAGAAGGUCUUCGGAUUGUAAAGCACUUUAAGUUGGGAGGCCGGUUAGUAAGUUAAUACCUCGCUGUUUUGCGGUAACUAAAAGAAUAAGAACCGCCUACCAUGGU